UAGGGAAUCUUCCACAAUGGGCGCAAGCCUGAUGGAGCAACACCGCGUGAGUGAAGAAUGGUUUCGGCUCGUAAAGCUCUGUUGUUGGAGAAGAACGUGCGUGAGAGUAACUGUUCACGNAGUGACGGUAACCAACCAGAAAGUAACGGCUAACUACGGGCCAGUCGCCGCGGUAAUACGUAGGUGGCAAGCGUUAUCCGGAUUUAUUGGGCGUAAAGCGAGCGCAGGCGGUUGCUUAGGUCUGAUGUGAAAGCCUUCGGCUUAACCGAAGAAGUGCAUCGGAAACCGGGCGACUUGAGUGCAGAAGAGGACAGUGGAACUCCAUGUGUAGCGGUGGAAUGCGUAGAUAUAUGGAAGAACACCAGUGGCGAAGGCGGCUGUCUGGUCUGCAACUGACGCUGAGGCUCGAAAGCAUGGGUAGCGAACAGG
This 429-nucleotide ribosomal RNA is filed under the name uncultured bacterium. RNAcentral describes it as "bacterial SSU rRNA". It matches the Rfam family "Bacterial small subunit ribosomal RNA", at positions 355 to 776 of the family's 1533-position model. The record is from RNAcentral.